CUGAUUUCUUUUACGGUUGAGAUAUGAUCUCAAUCUUCAAAUCACAAGAAGUUGUGAUUUAUGCAUAUUUAUUUGAAUCACACAAUCCUCGAAAUCUGAGGGCUUUGUGAUAUUUGGUGUCAAAGCAAAGGAUUAGUGGAGACUAUUCGAUUCCCGGAAACUCUCAUGCAUGAUCAUGUGACGAAGCGUGGCUCUCCACCCGGGGGCUCAUAUGAUGAGUACUUUGAUAGGCACGCGCGGGUAUCAUAUUGGGACUGAGCCCGUGCCACAUAUGAUGUGCAGUUGGAGACUGUCUUCGACUGGUACCAAAGUCAAAAUAUCUAAAAUAUCAAGCAUGUUUUGGGUUAAAUGUUUAACCCGUUCUUUCCGCAUAAAAUUUUUGAAAUUCAUGCUUAGCCCUCUGCACGCAUACUAUC
RNAcentral lists this long non-coding RNA (416 nucleotides) under Phoenix dactylifera (date palm). RNAcentral describes it as "long non-coding RNA (PDAC_LNC023056)". The record is from RNAcentral. Lineage: Eukaryota; Viridiplantae; Streptophyta; Magnoliopsida; Arecales; Arecaceae.